This 61-nucleotide transfer RNA is filed under the name Klebsiella quasipneumoniae. Its description in RNAcentral is "tRNA_Val_GAC". It matches the Rfam family "tRNA", at positions 8 to 63 of the family's 71-position model. Rfam says of the family: Transfer RNA (tRNA) molecules are approximately 80 nucleotides in length. Their secondary structure includes four short double-helical elements and three loops (D, anti-codon, and T loops). Further hydrogen bonds mediate the characteristic L-shaped molecular structure. tRNAs have two regions of fundamental functional importance: the anti-codon, which is responsible for specific mRNA codon recognition, and the 3' end, to which the tRNAs corresponding amino acid is attached (by aminoacyl-tRNA synthetases). tRNAs cope with the degeneracy of the genetic code in two manners: having more than one tRNA (with a specific anti-codon) for a particular amino acid; and 'wobble' base-pairing, i.e. permitting non-standard base-pairing at the 3rd anti-codon position. Lineage: Bacteria; Pseudomonadati; Pseudomonadota; Gammaproteobacteria; Enterobacterales; Enterobacteriaceae. The record is from RNAcentral.
CGUAGCUCAGUUGGUUAGAGCACCACCUUGACAUGGUGGGGGUCGUUGGUUCGAGUCCAAU